UUGACCGGACACAACAAGCAUCGCGGACGAUUUUCUGCCUGUGUAGUCCUUUCAAGAUCUUGCCACAUUUGAUGUCAAACUCGUUCACCGGGCUACAAAACACGCCUUGGUAAUUAACUUAUGUUUUAUAACUGUUUUAGUCUGAAACACACAUUUACUAAUUGUUUGCUUGAUGUUUUAUUAAAUUUCGUAUGCAUGUUACUGUAACAUAUACAGAUCUUACUCUACACUCACUUUAGUUGGGCGUUCCACAAAUUUCUACAACUAGGAUAACUCGCAAAGUUUUCAAUUUUCCUGUCUCUAAAUUUAAACUGAAUAUUAGCAACGCUGAUAAAUAAUAUACAUUUAAAUCCUUAUUUGUCUUCAUCUUCAGUCCACUGAAUGGUCACAAUAUUUCUAGUUCUGCUGAAUUAUACAAUUUUUUAUCAAUUCGGUUGUUUUAGAUCCAUUGUCUUAGCUUCGUAGGUGGCUCGUCUGCUAAAGACAUUGUUAGGAGAACAAUAUCGCAGACGUUGAACCAUGUCGUGGCCCAUAAAAAUGAACUGGGUGGGAAAGAAAGGAUGGAAGGGGACCGGUGACGUCCCGAAGAGAGCAUUUUGUGGACUCCAUCUCUGUUAUGCUGUCAGAAAACAAGCUGUACUCGGCAACAGCGGAUCAAGUUGAAAGAGAAAUCAUGGUCUGGCUGAGAAAAACAGCUGACCGCCAGGGAGAAAGACGGCAGAGAGUGGUGAACAAAGAAGGCGCAGUGAAGAAAACCAUUCAAAAUAACAAAUUACACGACAUAAACUAGAAUGGAAUAAUAAACCAUCGUCUAAUUUUAAUUCACACUUUUGGGCUUUAGUUCAUCUUUUGAUGUUGGCUAAUUGUUAAUGGUGUACUGGUCAAUCUUUAUUACUUCUGUAUUUGUUAUUUCGGGUUUUAAAAAUAAAAAAAACAUGCAUUUGCAUUAUAAAGCUUUCGGGGCAUAUUAGAAACUGUUUCAACGCUUCCUUGUUAUCUGAUUUCAAAUCAUAUUGUAAAACACAUAUACAGACUUACACAAGAUUGACCAAACUCCUUGCAUAUUUAAACCCAAUUUUAGUAUCGGUAUUAGUCAAUUACUAUAUUCACUCGAACUUAUCAGUGAUUUGUGAAGUAUAGCCAGUGAAUGUUCUUUCUGUACAUGAUCGAUUGACCUUGGUUUCCUUUCUUCCCCGUUUGCCAACAGUCGAUCCAUUCAAGCAGUUUUAAUCGUGAUAGAUAUUCUUCCGAUCAGUGGACACAUACUCAGUGUUAGAUGGUAACUGGCUUUAAUAUUUUUUAGCAUCAACUGUUUUUUAUUUUUUAAAUUCCCUCAGGAUCAGACAGAUUUAUACAUCUACUGGCUGAAUUCAGGCGACAACUGGUUACUAAAUGGGUAUUAACCGGUGGGUAUGACUGGGGCGGUGAUGUACAACCGGCUCUGGCCCUGUACGGGUUUGAUAAUGGAUUGAUACCACUCAACAUGAUUGGCCCAAUACCGGUUUCUCACAACUGGUCCCGUGUCGUUCACCAACGACACGGGUUCAGCUGCGCCAUACGGGCUCAGUACCGAAAAAUUUGAAUUGGCCCAGUUUUGGUACAAAGCAGCCUAGUAGCGGUCCGAUUGGGGCUAUUUGUACAGACCCAAUCUGAAGCCACUGUGCACGCUGGUAUGCUGGACCAGUACCGGCCUAGUUUGUAAAUGUUAUCUGGGUAAGUGUAAUGUUCGUGAGUUCGACGGAAAACUUCAAAUAAUUAAAUAAAUAUCUAUUUACCGGUAUGUAUUUAUUUGAUUGGUGAUUGGUACGACGGUGGCCAGCAUUAUGGUGGUAGAAAACAGGACAGAGCCUAGGGGAAACCCACGACCAUCCGCAAGUUGCUGGGAGGCCUUCCCACUUACGACCGGAGGGGAAAUAUAAAUACUUACCAGGAUGGACGACGUAAACUGAGGAUAGCUGAGGAUAUAUCCGAUUUACAGACGGUCGCUGAGGAAGAUUUGGGGAGAGGAAGUAGAUGUUACUAUUUCAUUUAUGCAUAUGGUUUGACACUUGCUAGCGAAUUCUAGCGAAUUAAGGUUUCUAAGAACCUAAUGGAUUGUAAUAAUGUUGUACUAUUUAAUGUGCAUUCUGUAUAUGUUUGUGUCAUAUUGAUCAUCAGCAAAUAAUUCCCUUGCAGACGCAAACAAAAGAGAUAUUCCUCAAGCGAAAGUAAUGACGACGAAGCCCCUCAUGCCAACGCAGCCGAAGCAAAUACGUCUAGCACCUUCACCUGCUCUGCCAGGUUUUCCAGCAGUGGAACGGCAUUCGACUUACCCCUCCAAGGAGAGCCAGUUACAUG
This is a long non-coding RNA of Liolophura sinensis, 2337 nucleotides long. RefSeq lists it as uncharacterized. The record is from RefSeq and is a predicted model, not a curated record. Lineage: Eukaryota; Metazoa; Mollusca; Polyplacophora; Chitonida; Chitonidae. The transcript is spliced from 3 exons.